RNAcentral lists this ribosomal RNA (467 nucleotides) under uncultured bacterium. RNAcentral describes it as "partial 16S ribosomal RNA". It matches the Rfam family "Bacterial small subunit ribosomal RNA", at positions 28 to 506 of the family's 1533-position model. The record is from RNAcentral.
GACGAACGCUGGCGGGGUGCUUAACACAUGCAAGUCGAACGGAAAGACCCUGCUUUUGUGGGGUGCUCGAGUGGCGAACGGGUGAGUAACACGUGAGUAACCUGCCCUUGACUUUGGGAUAACUUCAGGAAACUGGGGCUAAUACCGGAUAGGAGCUCCUGCUGCAUGGUGGGGGUUGGAAAGUUUCGGCGGUUGGGGAUGGACUCGCGGCUUAUCAGCUUGUUGGUGGGGUAGUGGCUUACCAAGGCUUUGACGGGUAGCCGGCCUGAGAGGGUGACCGGCCACAUUGGGACUGAGAUACGGCCCAGACUCCUACGGGAGGCAGCAGUGGGGAAUAUUGCACAAUGGGCGGAAGCCUGAUGCAGCAACGCCGCGUGCGGGAUGACGGCCUUCGGGUUGUAAACCGCUUUCGCCUGUGACGAAGCGUGAGUGACGGUAAUGGGUAAAGAAGCACCGGCUAACUACGU